This is a long non-coding RNA of Cygnus olor (mute swan), 1188 nucleotides long. RefSeq lists it as uncharacterized. The transcript is spliced from 6 exons. Lineage: Eukaryota; Metazoa; Chordata; Aves; Anseriformes; Anatidae. The record is from RefSeq and is a predicted model, not a curated record.
GCAUACAAACUGAUCCAUUGGAACGCAAAAUUACAACUUACAGAUUUAUGCAAGAGGGAUGACUGCAAAGUGCUUUGCAUGAGUAGUGUAAGAAGCUGAAAAUUGCUCCUGUUGUAGCUGUCAUAGACACGUUGUUUUCUUUGAGGACCCUGGUCUUGAUUGUGAUUCCGUUGUGGUAAGUGCCUCUAUCAAUCACAGGGAGAUCAUGUCCUUGCCUGAGGAUGUGCAUAUAAAGAUACCCCAUACAGCAGCAUGCCCUGAAGGAGCUUGAUGGUAAUUUCAUGGGUGCCAAAUAUAUUAAUUGAGAUUCUCCUAGUCUAUCACAGUAACUAUGAUGCAGAAACAAAAGACUUGCCUGCCUUUCAGAUCUGCAAGCUGUUGAACUCUGAAUGGAAGAAUAACUCAGUUCAUACUCUCCCCUCACCAGCUUCUCUUCUUCACUGGCUGAAAUAAAGGAAAAAGUGAUCAAAAGAGACAGAGGGUUCAAGGGGGAACAUUGCUUUAGACUUGUCCAUAUAAGAAAAAACAAGUAGAAAUGCGUUGGCCAAGGAAGGCACAUGGACCCUAACUGAGGAGCUGCUGAUGUGAAACAUGCACAAGAGUCAGACGUGAGCAGCAGCAGCCUGGUGUGGAGCUUCCUCGAGCAUGGCCACAGCCUUGUAAAGAAACAUCACAGCCUUGGAAGUUAUGCUUGGUACAAUUAGUCUGCUCUGUGCUUUAGGGUUGUUCUUCACUGUGGAAGUUUAAUAAGCUUGAAGGAGGCAUAGUGUCUGCACUGCAGCCUGCCUAUUCCAUUUAUUCUCUUGCUUUCUGAAGACAAAACAAUGCUGUGUGUAUAUUCUGUUAUGAUAAUAUGCUAAGCAAAUUUCUUUCAAUGACUGAAAAUGAAAUAAUGUUAAUUGCUAAAGAGAGAAAAAUAGUUUUUCAUAGCACCAUUUAAAACUGUUUAACUAAAUGGAAUUAACAAUAUAUAUAUUAUUUUUUUGAAAGUUGUUUUCUAGUUCAAAUCUAUCCUCUGUUUUCUGCAAAUUUGUGUGCAUCUAUAAAAUCUGUCAAGUCUGGUUUUGUUGACAGGCAAUAUUGUUCUUCAUUUGGAAGUUUGAUUUGCUUCCUAUGAGUUUUCUUGAUAUAUAGUACAAGUGCAGUUAUAACUUAAGCUUGAAAAAUCCCACCCUCCAAGUGGAUGUA